UGACGCAGCGGAAUAUAGAUUUCAAAAUUUUUUAACAUGCAUACAAUAAUGAAAACAAGGUUUAACAUUUAAACACAACCAUCGAAACUUAAAAACCUUAGGAACCCCUUGACGAUUACAAUCAAAUCACAAAAACAUGCAAAUAAGAAGACCAGAAGUCUUAUACCACCAUGAAGACCACGAACUGGUGAUUUUGAGAUCUCCACGAGAUUCCAAAGUAGAAGCCCUCCAAUGGUGAUCCACACAGGAUUGAUCAGGGUCUUUCCCAACUCGUCAUGGUGCUGCAGCUUUCUUCCUAAGUGCGCUGCCGAUGGUCCUUCGCAAGAACUUGAUAUACCAUAAAUUGUAUGCCUUCAUGAUCUCCACUAGGAUCACUUUAGGAAUCUUUUUCCAAAGUAUCUCACCAUACUCUAAUCAGAUUUUAUAUUCAACAUAUGAACAAUCUGAUUUUAGGACAAGUAUCUCAUUUUUUUUUCUCUCUUCCUUUCUAUUUUUCUCUCUCUUUUUUUUCUUGUUUUUUCCCCAUAAUUUUUCCAUUAUUUCCUCUCAUUUCCACGCCCAUCCUUGGCUAAAAAUGGCACGUUGACAGGUGGUAGAGUCCCCUUUAAAUAGGAAACAUGGGGCGACUCCAUGGGACGCCAACUCUUGGCGUCCCUUAAUUAUUACAUGCCUUAAUAAAUUUUCAAUGUGGAAUAUAAUGGGUUGGCGUGGAUUCUAAAGAGGUUUACCAGUAGAAGGACUCUUCCUCUGUCUAAGAAAAAUUAAUUUACAAUCAAAUUGUGCAUGCGAAAGGAAUCAACGUGAGAUAUGAAGAGUCCAUGCCAAUAAGGACUCUUCCAUAAACUCAACGUAGACAUUAAAGGAAAAUCAAUCUAAUUGGCGUUCAAACUCCUUGUAAGAAAAGGACUCUUCUCUUUUGCGCCCAUAAUUCUAAGUGUCAUCUGAUGACACGAAGAAUUAAAACGCAUGGAGAAUUAAGAAAGGAAUUUAAGAGUCCACGUUGAAAUGGAGGAGUCCAUUUCAACGCCAUAAAUGGCUCCUCCAUUUCAACGCCAUAAAUGGGGCGUCCCUUCUUAUUUUUGACGUGGAGUUCCUUCCAAGAGAAGGACUCCCUCUCCUCUUCCACGUCCCACAUCCUAAGGCGCUAUCUGAUGGCGCACAAAAAUAAGGGACGUGUGGAAGAUGUAAUAAUUUUAAGAGGAGUAAGAAAGGACUCUCCUUCUUAAAUACAAAAAUAAAUGUGACGCCACUUAAUAAUAUGCGUGUGGUUUGACAUGGAGGAGGUUGAUUUCAUGUGGAACUCUUCCACAAAAUCAAAUAAAACCAAC
This 1328-nucleotide long non-coding RNA is filed under the name Elaeis guineensis (African oil palm). RNAcentral's name for it is "long non-coding RNA (EGUI_LNC000670)". Lineage: Eukaryota; Viridiplantae; Streptophyta; Magnoliopsida; Arecales; Arecaceae. The record is from RNAcentral.